RNAcentral lists this ribosomal RNA (248 nucleotides) under uncultured bacterium. RNAcentral's name for it is "partial 16S ribosomal RNA". It matches the Rfam family "Bacterial small subunit ribosomal RNA", at positions 15 to 252 of the family's 1533-position model. The record is from RNAcentral.
GAUCCUGGGCUCAGGAUGAACGCUAGCUACAGGCUUAACACAUGCAAGUCGAGGGGCAUCAGUUUGGUUUGCUUGCAAACCAAAGCUGGCGACCGGCGCACGGGUGAGUAACACGUAUCCAACCUGCCUCAUACUCGGGGAUAGCCUUUCGAAAGAAAGAUUAAUAUCCGAUAGCAUAUAUUUCCCGCAUGGGUUUUAUAUUAAAGAAAUUCGGUAUGAGAUGGGGAUGCGUUCCAUUAGUUUGUUGG